GACGAACGCUGGCGGCGUGCUUAACACAUGCAAGUCGAACGGAAAGGCCCUGCUUUUGUGGGGUGCUCGAGUGGCGAACGGGUGAGUAACACGUGAGUAACCUGCCCUUGACUUUGGGAUAACUUCAGGAAACCGGGGCUAAUACCGGAUAGGAGCUCCUGCUGCAUGGUGGGGGUUGGAAAGUUUCGGCGGUUGGGGAUGGACUCGCGGCUUAUCAGCUUGUUGGUGGGGUAGUGGCUUACCAAGGCUUUGACGGGUAGCCGGCCUGAGAGGGUGACCGGCCACAUCGGGACUGAGAUACGGCCCAGACUCCUACGGGAGGCAGCAGUGGGGAAUAUUGCACAAUGGGCGGAAGCCGGAUGCAGCAACGCCGCGUGCGGGAUGACGGCCUUCGGGUUGUAAACCGCUUUCGCCUGUGACGAAGCGUGAGUGACGGUAAUGGGUAAAGAAGCACCGGCUAACUACGU
This 467-nucleotide ribosomal RNA is filed under the name uncultured bacterium. RNAcentral's name for it is "partial 16S ribosomal RNA". It matches the Rfam family "Bacterial small subunit ribosomal RNA", at positions 28 to 506 of the family's 1533-position model. The record is from RNAcentral.